Long non-coding RNA from Triplophysa dalaica, 470 nucleotides. RefSeq lists it as uncharacterized. The transcript is spliced from 3 exons. NCBI's taxonomy places the organism in Eukaryota, Metazoa, Chordata, Actinopteri, Cypriniformes, Nemacheilidae. The record is from RefSeq and is a predicted model, not a curated record.
CAUCAACAUCGUUCCUUCUACUCCUAUCACACAUGAGCAGAAAGAUGAUGUGGUUUAUUCUGAGGUGACCGUUGUCAGUAAAAAACAACUGAAGAACAACAUUGUUCAGUCUGCUGGUGAUGUGACUUAUGCCGUCAUCAGAGGAGGAAAAACUGAACCUGAAGACGCCUGCAGAGAGCUUUAAUCCUCCCUGAACAAAACCACUCGCAAAUAAAACACAAACACACAUAAUUAAACAAAACUUAAAUUUCCUUUGACAAACAAACUCAAGUGCAGAUUUGAUUUAUUUGAUGUAUUUUUGGUUGGCUUUGGAAUGUUUGUUUGUUGUCUGUUUGUUUAUUAUUUGAUGUCAUUGUCCACAUGUUAAUGAAUCCUAACACGCCUGAUGAAUUUUCAUAUGUAUUGUUAACAGUGUACGUGAUCAAAUUGGUGUAGUGUCAUGGAAACAGAUUUCUUAGUUUGACUUUUUA